AGAGUUUGAUCCUGGCUCAGAUUGAACGCUGGCGGCGUGCUUAACACAUGCAAGUCGUGCGAGAAAGGGGGCUUCGGUCCCUGAGUAGAGCGGCGCACGGGUGAGUAGCGCGUGGAUAAUCUCCCCAGAAGUUCGGGAUAACGGCGGGAAACUGCCGCUAAUACCGGAUACGCUCCAAUUUCGGUUGGGGGAAAGGCGGCCUCUGUUUACAAGCUGUCGCUUCUGGAUGAGUCCGCGUCCCAUUAGCUUGUUGGUGGGGUAAUGGCCUACCAAGGCUACGAUGGGUAGCUGGUCUGAGAGGAUGAUCAGCCACACUGGAACUGAAACACGGUCCAGACUCCUACGGGAGGCAGCAGUGGGGAAUAUUGCGCAAUGGGGGAAACCCUGACGCAGCGACGCCGUGUGAGGGAUGAAGGCUUUCGGGU
Molecule: ribosomal RNA, 425 nt
Filed under: uncultured bacterium
Lineage: Bacteria
Description: bacterial SSU rRNA
Rfam family: Bacterial small subunit ribosomal RNA
Source: RNAcentral